GGACGGAUAGCUGAGAUGGAAUAGCGCCUGGCUGAAAACCAGGAGACGGAGAUUCGAGCGCUCCCCCGUCCA
This is a non-coding RNA of Blastopirellula marina DSM 3645, 72 nucleotides long. NCBI's taxonomy places the organism in Bacteria, Pseudomonadati, Planctomycetota, Planctomycetia, Pirellulales, Pirellulaceae. The record is from Rfam.